AUGCAGCCUCAAAGCGUCUCCCAUUGUAAGCAUCCUGAAACUGGUCUGCAUCUGCAACAGAAGGUGCAAGACGAGCACCGUUUUCCAGCUGAGCAGUGUGUGGGCAAGAGCAGCUUGCUGUUACGGUUUGCAGACAACACCUUCUCAGGCAGCUACAUCGCCACAAUUGGAGAGGAUUUAAAGAUUCGGACUGUGGAGAUCAACAGGGAGAAGGUGAAGCUGCAGAUCUGGGACACGGAUGGACAGGAGCGCUUCCGGACCAUCACCUCCGCGUAUUAUCGGGGACCCACGGGGUCAUUGUGGUUUACAACGUCACUAGUGCUGAGUCCUUCGUCAAUGUCAAGGGGUGGCUUCAUGAAAUCAACCAGAACUGUGACGAUGUGUGCGGGAUAUUAGUGGGCAACAAGAAUGACGACCCUGAGCAGAAGGUGGUAGAGACAGAAGAUGCCUACAAAUUUGCUGGACAGAUGGGGAUCCAGCUCUUUGAGACCAGUGCCAAGGAGAACGUCAAUGUGGAAGAGAUGUUCAACUGUAUCACAGAGCUGGUUCUACGAGCAAAGAAAGACAACUUGGCGAAACAGCAGCAGCAGCAACAGAACGAUGUGGUGAAGCUCACCAAAAACAGUAAACGAAAGAAACGCUGCUGCUAAUGCCCCAGCCCACUGCAGAGACUGCACUGCGGAGACUGCACUGCAUCCUCCCCAGCCUGAGGCCUGGAGGCGCGGGGACAGUCUCAGUUUAAUGCCAUUAUUUAAAGAAUUC
Molecule: non-coding RNA, 762 nt
Organism: Arvicanthis niloticus (Nile rat)
Lineage: Eukaryota; Metazoa; Chordata; Mammalia; Rodentia; Muridae
Source: RefSeq, a predicted model, not a curated record